GUGUCAGCAGCCGCGGUAAAACGUAGGAUCCGAGCGUUAUCCGAAUUCACUGGGCGUAAAGCGCGUGCAGGCGGCUCGCUAAGUUGGAUGUGAAAUCUCCUGGCUCAACUGGGAGGGGACGUUCAAAACUAGCGAGCUCGAGGACGGUAGAGGGAGGUGGAAUUCCCGGUGUAGUGGUGAAAUGCGUAGAUAUCGGGAGGAACACCAGUGGCGAAAGCGGCCUCCUGGACCGUUCCUGACGCUCAGACGCGAAAGCUAGGGGAGCGAACGGGAUUAGAAACCCUGGUAGUCC
This 292-nucleotide ribosomal RNA is filed under the name uncultured bacterium. Its description in RNAcentral is "partial 16S ribosomal RNA". It matches the Rfam family "Bacterial small subunit ribosomal RNA", at positions 505 to 796 of the family's 1533-position model. The record is from RNAcentral.